This 701-nucleotide ribosomal RNA is filed under the name Lichtheimia ornata. RNAcentral describes it as "partial large subunit ribosomal RNA". It matches the Rfam family "Eukaryotic large subunit ribosomal RNA", at positions 65 to 664 of the family's 3401-position model. The record is from RNAcentral. Lineage: Eukaryota; Fungi; Mucoromycota; Mucoromycetes; Mucorales; Lichtheimiaceae.
AGGUUCGUGAUCACUAGUACGGCGAGUGAAGAGGGAAAAGCUCAAAGUUGGAACCUGGCUGUCCUAGAUAGUCCGGAUUGUAAACUAAAGAGCGUGAAUCCAGGCAAGCCGGUUGAUCAAGUCCUUUGGAAUGAGGCGCCACUGAGGGUGAGAGCCCCGUAAGUCGACUGAGCAUUUGUCUUUUGUGUUUCGCGUUCAAAGAGUCAGGUUGUUUGGGAAUGCAGCCUAAAGCUGGUGGUAAAUCCCACCUAAAGCUAAAUACAGGCGAGAGACCGAUAGCGAACAAGUACCGUGAGGGAAAGAUGAAAAGUACUUUGAAAAGAGAGUUAAACAGUAUGUGAAAUUGCCAAGAGGGAAGCAUUUGGAGUUAGACUGACUUGGAGUUAAUCAGCUUGGUCUUUGGACUGGGUGUACUUGACUUCUAUGUCUGCCAACAGCAGUUAGUCCUGAUGGAAAAAACUGAAGGGAAGGUAGUCCUUCGGGAUGUUUAUAGACCUUUGGAAAAUACAUUGGGGAUUGACUGAGGAAUGCAGUAGAUGCUAUUAAGGCUUCGUCUAGUGGUGCUAGGCAAAGGUACCUGGUAUUUUCAGCUUGCUGAUGUGCUGGGUUACUUGAGUCUAGUUGCUUAUUAGAACUGUAAUCUACUUUGGUUGUUGGCUUAAUGACUCUAAAUGGCCCGUCUUGAAAAACGAGAACCAAAA